CCUGAUCCAGCCAUGCCGCGUGAGUGAAGAAGCCCUUCGGGUUGUAAAGCUCUUUCGGCGGGGACGAAACGGUCCGUGCCAACACCACGGACUAAUGACGGUACUCGCAGAAGAAGCACCGGCUAACUACGUGCCAGCAGCCGCGGUAAUACGUAGGGUGCGGGCGUUAAUCGGAAUUACUGGGCGUAAAGCGUGCGCAGGCGGCUCCUUAAGUCAGAUGUGAAAUCCCCGGGCUUAACCUGGGAACUGCGUUUGAAACUGAGGGGCUUGAGUGUGGAAGAGGGGGUGGAAUUCCAGGUGUAGCAGUGAAAUGCGUAGAGAUCUGGAGGAACACCGAUGGCGAAGGCAGCCCCCUGGGCUAACACUGACGCUCAUGCACGAAAGCGUGGGGAGCAAACAGGAUUAGAUACCCUGGUAGUCCACGCCCUAAACGAUGUCAACUGGUUGUCGGGGAAGCAAUUCCUUGGUAACGAAGCUAACGCGUGAAGUUGACCGCCUGGGGAGUACGGCCGCAAGGUUA
RNAcentral lists this ribosomal RNA (520 nucleotides) under uncultured Pseudomonadota bacterium. Its description in RNAcentral is "bacterial SSU rRNA". It matches the Rfam family "Bacterial small subunit ribosomal RNA", at positions 382 to 896 of the family's 1533-position model. The record is from RNAcentral. Lineage: Bacteria; Pseudomonadati; Pseudomonadota.